Molecule: transfer RNA, 74 nt
Filed under: Levilinea saccharolytica
Lineage: Bacteria; Bacillati; Chloroflexota; Anaerolineae; Anaerolineales; Anaerolineaceae
Description: tRNA-Gln
Rfam family: tRNA
About the family: Transfer RNA (tRNA) molecules are approximately 80 nucleotides in length. Their secondary structure includes four short double-helical elements and three loops (D, anti-codon, and T loops). Further hydrogen bonds mediate the characteristic L-shaped molecular structure. tRNAs have two regions of fundamental functional importance: the anti-codon, which is responsible for specific mRNA codon recognition, and the 3' end, to which the tRNAs corresponding amino acid is attached (by aminoacyl-tRNA synthetases). tRNAs cope with the degeneracy of the genetic code in two manners: having more than one tRNA (with a specific anti-codon) for a particular amino acid; and 'wobble' base-pairing, i.e. permitting non-standard base-pairing at the 3rd anti-codon position.
Source: RNAcentral
UGGGGGUUCGUCUAACGGCAGGACAGCAGACUCUGGAUCUGUUUGUGGAGGUUCGAAUCCUUCACCCCCAGCCU